This 84-nucleotide transfer RNA is filed under the name Lentisphaerae bacterium ADurb.Bin242. RNAcentral's name for it is "tRNA-Leu". It matches the Rfam family "tRNA". From Rfam's summary of the family: Transfer RNA (tRNA) molecules are approximately 80 nucleotides in length. Their secondary structure includes four short double-helical elements and three loops (D, anti-codon, and T loops). Further hydrogen bonds mediate the characteristic L-shaped molecular structure. tRNAs have two regions of fundamental functional importance: the anti-codon, which is responsible for specific mRNA codon recognition, and the 3' end, to which the tRNAs corresponding amino acid is attached (by aminoacyl-tRNA synthetases). tRNAs cope with the degeneracy of the genetic code in two manners: having more than one tRNA (with a specific anti-codon) for a particular amino acid; and 'wobble' base-pairing, i.e. permitting non-standard base-pairing at the 3rd anti-codon position. Lineage: Bacteria; Pseudomonadati; Lentisphaerota. The record is from RNAcentral.
GCGCGGCUGGCGAAAUGGCAAACGCAAAGGAUUUAGGAUCCUUCGCCGCAAGGCUUGCGGGUUCAAGUCCCGCGCCGCGCACCA